AAUGAACGCUGGCGGCAUGCCUUACACAUGCAAGUCGAACGGCAGCGGACCUUCGGGUGCCGGCGAGUGGCGAACGGGUGAGUAAUAUAUCGGAACGUACCUUUCAGUGGGGGAUAACGUAGCGAAAGUUACGCUAAUACCGCAUAUUCUGUGAGCAGGAAAGCAGGGGAUCGCAAGACCUUGCGCUGAUUGAGCGGCCGAUAUCAGAUUAGCUAGUUGGUGAGGUAAAGGCUCACCAAGGCGACGAUCUGUAGCGGGUCUGAGAGGAUGAUCCGCCACACUGGAACUGAGACACGGUCCAGACUCCUACGGGAGGCAGCAGUGGGGAAUUUUGGACAAUGGGCGCAAGCCUGAUCCAGCCAUGCCGCGUGAGUGAAGAAGGCC
RNAcentral lists this ribosomal RNA (384 nucleotides) under uncultured bacterium. RNAcentral's name for it is "bacterial SSU rRNA". It matches the Rfam family "Bacterial small subunit ribosomal RNA", at positions 29 to 416 of the family's 1533-position model. The record is from RNAcentral.